UACGUAGGGGCCUAGCGUUGUCCGGAAUUAUUGGGCGUAAAGAGCUCGUAGGCGGUCUGUUGCGUCCGCUGUGAAAACUCGGGGCUUAACCCCGAGCCUGCAGUGGAUACGGGCAGACUAGAGGUAGGUAGGGGAGAAUGGAAUUCCCGGUGUAGCGGUGAAAUGCGCAGAUAUCGGGAGGAACACCGGUGGCGAAGGCGGUUCUCUGGAACAAUCCUGACGCUGAGGUGCGAAAGCUAGGGGAGCAAACGGG
This 253-nucleotide ribosomal RNA is filed under the name uncultured bacterium. RNAcentral's name for it is "partial 16S ribosomal RNA". It matches the Rfam family "Bacterial small subunit ribosomal RNA", at positions 524 to 776 of the family's 1533-position model. The record is from RNAcentral.